Molecule: ribosomal RNA, 311 nt
Filed under: Brycon sp.
Lineage: Eukaryota; Metazoa; Chordata; Actinopteri; Characiformes; Bryconidae
Description: partial small subunit ribosomal RNA
Rfam family: Bacterial small subunit ribosomal RNA
Source: RNAcentral
UCCGCCAGGGAACUACAAGCGCUAGCUUAAAACCCAAAGGACUUGACGGUGUCUCAGACCCACCUAGAGGAGCCUGUUCUAGAACCGAUAAUCCACGUUAAACCUCACCACCCCUUGUUCAAUCCAGCCUGUAUACCGCCGUCGCAAGCUUACCCUGUGAAGGUCCCAUAGUAAGCAAAAUGGGUAGACCCCAAAACGUCAGGUCGAGGUGCAGCUCACGGAGUGGGAAGAAAUGGGCUACAUUUUCUACAACAGAAUAUUACGAAUGACACCAUGAAACUGGUGUUUGAAGGUGGAUUUAGUAGUAAAAA